RNAcentral lists this ribosomal RNA (253 nucleotides) under uncultured bacterium. RNAcentral describes it as "partial 16S ribosomal RNA". It matches the Rfam family "Bacterial small subunit ribosomal RNA", at positions 524 to 776 of the family's 1533-position model. The record is from RNAcentral.
UACGUAUGGGGCAAGCGUUAUCCGGAUUUACUGGGUGUAAAGGGAGCGCAGGCGGCCUGGCAAGCCUGAUGUGGAAUACCGGGGCCCAACCCCGGGGCUGCAUUGGGAACUGCCAGGCUGGAGUGCCGGAGAGGCAGGCGGAAUUCCUAGUGUAGCGGUGAAAUGCGUAGAUAUUAGGAGGAACACCAGUGGCGAAGGCGGCCUGCUGGACGGUGACUGACGCUGAGGCUCGAAAGCGUGGGGAGCAAACAGG